This 454-nucleotide ribosomal RNA is filed under the name uncultured Sphingobacteriales bacterium. Its description in RNAcentral is "bacterial SSU rRNA". It matches the Rfam family "Bacterial small subunit ribosomal RNA", at positions 929 to 1382 of the family's 1533-position model. The record is from RNAcentral. Lineage: Bacteria; Pseudomonadati; Bacteroidota; Sphingobacteriia; Sphingobacteriales.
GCGGUGGAGCAUGUGGUUUAAUUCGAUGAUACGCGAGGAACCUUACCUGGCUCAAAAUGUAUGUUGACGUAUUCUGAAAGGGAUACUUCUUCGGACAAUAUACAAGGUGCUGCAUGGUUGUCGUCAGCUCGUGCCGUGAGGUGUCCGGGUUAAGUCCCAUAACGAGCGCAACCCCUAUCAUUAGUUGCCAUCAGGUCAAGCUGGGGACUCUAAUGAAACUGCCUACGCAAGUAGUGAGGAAGGUGGGGGAUGACGUCAAAUCAGCACGGCCCUUACGUCCAGGGCUACACACGUGCUACAAUGGCCGGUACAACGGGCAGCGAGUUCGCGAGGACGAGCGGAUCCCUCAAAGCCGGUCGCAGUUCGGAUUGAAGUCUGCAACUCGACUUCAUGAAGCUGGAAUCGCUAGUAAUCGUGGAUCAGCCAAGCCGCGGUGAAUACGUUCCCGGGCCUU